GAAUUGCUAAUGAAAUGUUUUCCGGUCAUUUGCCCAAACCCAGAAAACCAGAACCUGCCUUUUCCGUCCCGCAAUCUCUCAAUGGAAGUUCAAGCCUUCUACAAGUAGUCUCUUACCCAAGCUCCCCAUUCUAUUCAUGGAAACAAACACUUCUUCCUCCGUGCGAGUCUUAAUCCGCCCCCCUUCUUCCUCAACACCGCCAUUGCCACCAUCCCUGUACCCUUCUCCUUCCUCGUCCCCACCGGAUCCCCCUCUCCCUCCUAUAGCUCCGCCGCCAACACUGUCCCGACAGCCGUCGCCGCCAUCUCCGUCACCGGCACCGGCACAGGCACCGUCGUCAUCCCAACCUCGCCCAUCAGACGGCAUCGUUGUCGUAGGGUUUAUUGGGAGAAGACCCGACGAUGUGACUCCGCUGAUCAACCGUGUUCUGGACUCGAAUGUGUUCGGUUCUGGUAAUCUUGACAAGGACUUCUGUGUUGAGAAGGAGGAGGUAAAGGGUUGGUUCAAGAAUCGAAGAAUCAGCUAUUAUCAUGAAGCGGAGAGAGGGGUUCUGUAUUUACAGUAUUGUUCCACGCAGUGUCCGGCAAUGGAAGGAGUUUCGGAGUUGCAGUCAGAUUUUGAUGCGUUAUUGGAAGAGCGCGAUUUUGGGGAUCUUCAAGGAUUGCUGUUUAUGUUCUCCGUUUGCCAUGUAAUCAUCUAUGUUCAGGAGGGCUCACGCUUCGAUACACACUUUCUGAAAAAAUUUCGGACUUUGCAAGCUGCCAAGCAUGCUUUGGUUCCAUCUGUGAGAUCUCGAACUGCAGCACCAUUGUUGUCUAAGCCACAUUCUUUGUCAUCCUCAAGAGCUCCUGUAUCAGCAAGUUCUUCUAACAGUCCUUCUCCAGGCAGGAGUCGGGGCAUGCUGAAUCGUAAUGCUUCAGCUAUUUCUCUUAUGUCAGGUCUAGGUUCAUACACCUCUUUGUUUCCAGGACAGUGUACUCCAGUCACACUGUUUGCUUUUCUUGAUGAUUUUUCGGAUCUAUUGAACCCGGGUUCUAAUGUUGAGGAUUCAACUGAUAUUUCCUCAUUUAAUCAGUCUUCUAGUUUGAGCAGUUUUUCCAGGCCAAGCUUGCCUACAAAAGGUUCUGGUCCAGUUGUUGUACUGGCACGGCCUGUAAAUAAAUCUGAAGGUGGUUUGAGGAAGAAACAGCAGUCAUCUCUUGAAUCACAGAUUCGUUUUCUUAUUAAGAAAUGUCGGACUCUCACUGGGUCUGAAACAACUCAUGCUGGGUCAAGAAAUGCAGGUGGUGCAAGUUCAGCUCCCUUGUUUUCACUUGAUGCGUCAAGGGCUGUUGUGUUGUUAGAGAGGUGUAAAAAUCGAAGAGGUGAAUCUCUUGAGUUUGCCACCAGUCUUGUAGAGGAUGUUCUGAAUGGAAAGGCAUCCUCAGAUUUGCUUUUGCAUGAAAGCCAUGGUCAGAUUGCAAACAAAGAGGAUGUUCAAUCUGUAAAAGAGUUUAUUUUCAGGCAGUCUGAUAUUCUAAGGGGGAGAGGGGGAUUAGUUGCUAACACUAAUAGUGGUUCAGCUGCUGGAGUUGGUAUGGUAGCUGUUGCUGCAGCUGCUGCUGCAGCCUCUGCUGCAUCUGGUGGAAAGACAUUUACUACUCCUGAACUUCCAAGUUUGGACUUUUGGAUAUCUUCCAGUCAAACUAUUCUGCGAGGAUUGCUUUCUGCAAAGCGUGGGUGCAUUGAAGAAGCUGAAAUCAGCAAGAGAAAAUCUCGGCAAAGAAACACUGUUCCAGCUCAGAAUGAAGUGAUUGCUCCUAGAUGUGCAGAUCCUGCAGAAAUUGCAGUUUCUUGGUUGGAAUGCGGUAAAGGGCUGAACAUGAAAUUCUCAACUUUGUGGUGCCAAAGAGCCCUUCCAGCUGCUAAGGACAUUUAUUUGAAAGAAUUGCCUGCUUGUUAUCCAACUUCACAGCAUGAAGUCCAUUUGGAGAAAGCUUUGCGUGCUUUCUGCUCAAUGGUCAAGGGACCUGCAGUUCAGCUUUUUAUGAAAAGAUUAGAGGAUGAAUGCACAUCCAUCUGGAUAUCUGGGAGGCAGCAAUGUGACGCUGUUAGUUUAACAGGAAAACCAUGUGUGCACCAGAGACAUGAUGUUGAGGGUGGUGGUUUGCUUGCGGUGGCUGAAGUUAUGCCACAUUCCAGUGGUUUUGUUUUUCUUCAUGCUUGUGCUUGUGGUCGUUCACGCCAACUACGGUAUGACCCUUUUGAUUUUGAAAGUGCUAAUGUGACUUUCAAUCAUUUUCCAGAUUGUGAGAAGCUCCUUCCUGCGCUCCAAUUACCAAAGCUAAGCCAUGCAGGACCUCUUCAGCCAUCAUCAUGGAGUUUGAUUCGAGUUGGGGGUGCAAGGUAUUAUGAACCCUCUAAAGGCUUACUUCAGAGUGGGUUUUCUGCCACUCAGAAAUUCCUUUUGAAGUGGACAAUUUUUCUUGAGAGAUGGAAAAAUCCAACUGGCGCGUCUGCUAGUAUUGUGCAAAUUCCUGUGACCAGCACAAUUCACAAGGUUGAAUCUACUGUAGACGCUGACCUGAGGAAGUCUAGUGCUGCUCAUAUAUACCCAGGAGAAGUACAGAGUGGGCUUGAAAAUCGUAGGAAGUCCUCAGAGAACAUUAAAUCUAUUGAUAAUAAGAUCAGUUUUGGUCGUGGACUUCCCAAUUUUUCAAUGAAAAAGCCAUUUUCUGAGGUUGUUGCUGGAUCAGCCGCAGCAGAUUCAGGAUUCCCUCCUCUUCAGCAGAGUAAACAGCCCUUGUUAGAUUAUGAAAAGGGCACAAAGCAAAAUAAGUUUAGAGACAGGAUUCAAGAGCGAAUUCAUCCAGCUGCUGAUCAUCAAGAUUUGCAAAACUCUGAAAAUAUUUCUCCUGUUCAGGAAACUUUAAAUGCAACUAGCGCUAAUAAAAACACGGAAGGCAACCCAUUUUUACAGAUAGGUAGCAAUGUAGUUCCAGUAAAUGUGGAUGGUGGUGGAAAUAACAAAUUAAACCCAUCUUUAAAGCAUGUAACUGUAUAUGUUGGAUUUGAGCAUGAGUGCCCACAUGGACAUCGAUUCUUGUUGACUCAACAGCAUCUCAAUGAACUUGGCUCCUCUUAUUUGUUGCCUGAAGAAUCUCUUAUGCCUUCAGCUAUGGAAAACUUGAACUGCAAACCAGUAGGUCCAGUAAAAUUGGUUAGGAAUGCUGGCAACGGUAAAGUUCAUCGAAACUUAAAUGGGAUGACUAGUGCUGCUUUAAAUAGGGUGAGAAAUUUGGAUAAGUCAAAAGAGAUUGUGCCCAAUGGUAAUCAUUAUUCAGGAGGGCUAAUGCAGACUUCUGAAAUGGGAAAGGAUCAGGAACAAACUUCUGCUUGUUCGUCAACCCUCCAGGAUUCUGGAAACAAUAUUGAAGAAUGUUUUCAGACCCUUGACCUUGAUGAUGGUGGAUGUGCUUUUUCCAUGUUGAACAGGAAUUUACCCAUAUACAUGAACUGCCCUCACUGCAAGAUCUCCCGGACCAAGAAGGAUCCAACCAAGAAUAAGUUUGCCAGCACAAUUUCUCAGCUUCAAAGGAUUUUCCUGAUUUUGGAAGCUUUGAGGUUAGAGCGCUGUAUCCGACAAAAAUUCGAUAUCUCUAAAGUCUCGCUCGCCGAUCGAUUUGCAAUAAUAAUAAUAAUCAGGUCACCCCUCCAUUUCCAGUUGUUUUGGCAACCCGCCCAAUUAUACAGUUUGAGGCAUCAUGCCUACCUACAUCUGCUUCAGACCUUGAACAAAAGUUGCAGUUCAGCCUUGGAUGCCAAGUAAUCUUACCGCCAGAGAGUUUUCUCACGCUAAGGCUUCCAUUCAUUUAUGGCGUUCAACUGGAGGAUCAGAGUCUACAUCCUCUUAAGCCAUUUGAACAUCAACCAGAACCCACUGCCUGGCUUAUUAAAGGCACAACUUUGCAGGUCUUGUCAAGGGAAGAAAUUCGGAUGAGAGAUUUCGAAUGCAGUUAGGAUUUAAAUCCCAGAAUUUGGUUAAGUGAUGAUUUAUAUCCCUUAUGAACUACACGAGGCAGAUUCAUUACAACAGGUCCUAUUCAAGCUCAGGGGCAAUGCUGGUGUGGUAUCUGAUGGAGGAAUGAGGAUUGUGCAACACCAUAUGCUACAUCAAUGGAUCCAUAUUAUUUGUCCAAUACUUCCACUGAAGCAGCUCCUUUCGAUAUUCUAUUUAAUGGAGAAUGUGCAGGAUAAGGAGAUUCGCGGUUAAUGUUAGCUGGUGAUGGACAAUGUGGAAAGAAGUUUAAGAGAAUUCGAGACUAUUUGGUUGUUACUACUUACUAGGAUACAGGUAGCAAGACUUGUGAGUUUUGGUUGCUUUCUAAACUGAGCUCUGUUCACUUGGCAGCUUUACCCCUGCACUGGCAAUUGCUUGUUAAUAUGUAAUGGAUGUUUGGUUGAGAUCUGCUCCACCAUUGUACCCUUUUCCGCCCCUAAUGGAACACAUUGCAGAGGUGGUAUGGUGCAAAGCGUUGCUCCAUUGGAAUGGGCUUGCUAGUUGCCGACUCAUAUCGGAUGUUGGACAUGAAAGCCUGUCAAAUUGGGGGACUGCAACGAUAUAGGCCUCAGAUGAAGCCAUUAAGCUUUCCUCCAUUGCACUGGGCUUGCUAGUUGCAGACGCAUAAUGGAUGUCGACCUUAGAAGCCUGCCAAAGUGGGAGACUCCGAUGUUAUAGACCUCAGAUUGAAGCCAUAGCAUUAGUAUUGAUGUCAGUUGAAGCCUGCCAACUUGUUUCAUUACUGAUGUGUAUCGUACAGUAAAACUAGAAGUUCUCUCCUUUUAGUUAGUGCGAAAUAGUUCUGGGUUUGACUUCCUGAUCGAAUUAGUGGUUACAUUGUAAGAGUUUGAAAAUUAAUUUUGAACCUCAAACUACCUUAGCUUGCAUUUGGUUUGUGGAAUCGUUUUAGAAUUUUCAUUAUUCAUGUUUGUUUUGAGGUUGAAAAAAAUAUCAUGAUAGUAAUAUCAUUUAUUCUGAGUCUUUUAAUA
Malania oleifera is the source of this 5028-nucleotide RNA transcript. RefSeq lists it as uncharacterized. Lineage: Eukaryota; Viridiplantae; Streptophyta; Magnoliopsida; Santalales; Ximeniaceae. The record is from RefSeq and is a predicted model, not a curated record. The transcript is spliced from 8 exons.